AGUGAACGCUGGCGGUAGGCCUAACACAUGCAAGUCGAACGGCAGCACAGUAAGAGCUUGCUCUUACGGGUGGCGAGUGGCGGACGGGUGAGGAAUACAUCGGAAUCUACUUUUUCGUGGGGGAUAACGUAGGGAAACUUACGCUAAUACCGCAUACGACCUACGGGUGAAAGCAGGGGAUCUUCGGACCUUGCGCGAUUAAAUGAGCCGAUGUCGGAUUAGCUAGUUGGCGGGGUAAAGGCCCACCAAGGCGACGAUCCGUAGCUGGUCUGAGAGGAUGAUCAGCCACACUGGAACUGAGACACGGUCCAGACUCCUACGGGAGGCAGCAGUGGGGAAUAUUGGACAAAGGGCGCAAGCCUAAUCCAGCCAUACCGCGUGGGUGAAGAAGGCCUUCGGGUUGUAAAGCCCUUUUGUUGGGAAAGAAAAGCAGCAGGUUAAUACCCCGCUGUUCUGACGGUACCCAAAGAAUAAGCACCGGCUAACUUCGUG
Molecule: ribosomal RNA, 492 nt
Filed under: uncultured bacterium
Lineage: Bacteria
Description: partial 16S ribosomal RNA
Rfam family: Bacterial small subunit ribosomal RNA
Source: RNAcentral